UGUCCCCCCACACCCACCCAGCUUUAAUUCGCUGGCUUCAGGUUUCUCCCGCUGCAAAAUGAUGAGGUAAGUAACCGCCACAGGCUUUCCCACUCCUAAUCAUCAGAUUGCAAGAAGCCACCUGGUGUGGGGGAAAGACCCCCCAAUGCCGCUGAGUUGGAAAAACUGGAAGAAAAAUCCCCUGCGUCUCAGUUCCCAGCUCUGUGCCCGGGGACACCUGUCCUGUGUGAAAUGGGAUUCAUCACAAGAACACAUCUGUCAAACAGCUGGCACUCAACAAACUCCCCAGGGGGCGGCCGGAGUAACCCUUAGGAGUCUACCCUGCCUCCACUACUCUCCUGGCCCCAGUCCCCCCACUGCCUCACAAGAAGAGCGAUCUGGAGGUGACCAGAAGAAAAGCAAUCACUGCCUGCCCAGCAUUGCAUAACCUGCGCCGGGCACACGGUACACCCCAGGCUCAGCACAGGUCGUUAUCUCGCCAGAAACAAAGAGCUGAGUAUUCUGGAGAAAGGCCACCGUGAACAGGCCCACCGCAGCCCAGGAAGGCUGAGCAUCCCAGCAUGCGGGCUCAAGGGACUCCAACCACUCUGGCUCAACUAGAAAACACGGAGAUGACAGGAGGCAACCCGCACCCUGCCUGGCGCCUGCCCGGGGCUCUUAGAGCUGUCCCGGAGCGCGUGUACACGCAAAUCCAUGAAAGAACGGAAAGGAUUUCCGUGCAGCGAGGUUAAGUAAAGCUACUGAGCAAGAACAAUGGUCUCUGACUCUAUUAGGGAGGGCCAACGCCAGGUUAAGAAACCGAUUCAUUAAUCACAAAUAUUAGUUCUCGAACCAUUGCCAGGACACUGUGGCAAAGACAUCCUGCUGUGUCUGUUCAGAGCCAUUGCCAAAGCUCGGUCCUCUCCCCCACCUUCCGGUAUCUGUGAAGUUUUCAGUUCCUCCCGAGCUGCAGCUGGGGGAGGGGACCCAGGCCGGCCCUAGACGAGUAAA
Long non-coding RNA from Camelus dromedarius (Arabian camel), 990 nucleotides. RefSeq lists it as uncharacterized. NCBI's taxonomy places the organism in Eukaryota, Metazoa, Chordata, Mammalia, Artiodactyla, Camelidae. The transcript has 2 exons. The record is from RefSeq and is a predicted model, not a curated record.